AUUGAACGCUGGCGGCAUGCUUUACACAUGCAAGUCGAACGGUAACAGGUUAAGCUGACGAGUGGCGAACGGGUGAGUAAUGCAUCGGAACGUGCCCGGUCGUGGGGGAUAACGCAGCGAAAGCUGCGCUAAUACCGCAUACGAUCUGAGGAUGAAAGCGGGGGACCGUAAGGCCUCGCGCGAUCGGAGCGGCCGAUGUCAGAUUAGGUAGUUGGUGGGGUAAAGGCUCACCAAGCCAACGAUCUGUAGCUGGUCUGAGAGGACGACCAGCCACACUGGGACUGAGACACGGCCCAGGCUCAUACGGGAGGCAGCAGUGGGGAAUUUUGGACAAUGGGCGAAAGCCUGAUCCAGCAAUGCCGCGUGCAGGAAGAAGGCCUUCGGGUUGUAAACUGCUUUUGUACGGAGCGAAAAGGUCUCCUCUAAUACAGGGGGCUCAUGACGGUACCGUAAGAAUAAGCACCGGCUAACUACGUGCCAGCCGCCGCAGUAA
RNAcentral lists this ribosomal RNA (493 nucleotides) under uncultured bacterium. RNAcentral's name for it is "partial 16S ribosomal RNA". It matches the Rfam family "Bacterial small subunit ribosomal RNA", at positions 29 to 523 of the family's 1533-position model. The record is from RNAcentral.